Molecule: ribosomal RNA, 130 nt
Filed under: Craterellus atratoides
Lineage: Eukaryota; Fungi; Basidiomycota; Agaricomycetes; Cantharellales; Hydnaceae
Description: 5.8S ribosomal RNA
Rfam family: 5.8S ribosomal RNA
About the family: 5.8S ribosomal RNA (5.8S rRNA) is a component of the large subunit of the eukaryotic ribosome.
Source: RNAcentral
CAACUUUCAGCAAUGGAUCUCUUGGUUCUCGCAUCGAUGAAGAACGCAGUGAAAUGCGAUAACUGGUGUGAAUUGCAUCCUUGUAACUCUAAUUUACGAAUAACACCAAGUGAAUCAUCGAGUCUUUGAA